UGACAAGGCAGUUAACAUUCAAACAGGGUC
Molecule: non-coding RNA, 30 nt
Filed under: Mus musculus (house mouse)
Lineage: Eukaryota; Metazoa; Chordata; Mammalia; Rodentia; Muridae
Source: RNAcentral